This 870-nucleotide ribosomal RNA is filed under the name uncultured Verrucomicrobiota bacterium. RNAcentral's name for it is "bacterial SSU rRNA". It matches the Rfam family "Bacterial small subunit ribosomal RNA", at positions 1 to 852 of the family's 1533-position model. The record is from RNAcentral. Lineage: Bacteria; Pseudomonadati; Verrucomicrobiota.
UAGAGUUUGAUCCUGGCUCAGAACGAACGCUGGCGGCGUGGAUAAGACAUGCAAGUCGAACGCUAAUUUGGCUGUAGCAAUACAGUCAAGUUGGAGUGGCGCAAGGGUGCGUAACACGUGGGUAAUUUGCCGUGAAGUUGGGGAUAACUCGCUGAAAGGCGAGCUAAUACCGAAUGUGAAAAUCGGGAGGCAUCUUCUGAUUUUUAAAGUUGGGGACCGUAAGGCCUGACGCUUCACGAUAAGCCCGCGGCCUAUCAGCUAGUUGGUGAGGUAACGGCUCACCAAGGCUAAGACGGGUAGCUGGUCUGAGAGGACGACCAGUCACACUGGAACUGAGACACGGUCCAGACACCUACGGGUGGCAGCAGUCGAGAAUUUUUCUCAAUGGGCGAAAGCCUGAAGGAGCGACGCCGCGUGGGGGGAUGAAGGGCUUCGGCCCGUAAACCCCUGUCAUUUGCGAACAAACCUUACGAUCUAACAAGUCGUGAGCUGAUUGUAGCGAAAGAAGAAGGGACGGCUAACUCUGUGCCAGCAGCCGCGGUAAUACAGAGGUCCCAAGCGUUGUUCGGAUUCACUGGGCGUAAAGGGUGCGUANGUGGCAAGGUAAGUUUGAUGUGAAAUCUCCGGGCUUACCCCGGAAACUGCAUUGAAUACUAUCUCGCUUGAGAGUUGGAGGGGAGACUGGAAUACUUGGUGUAGCAGUGAAAUGCGUANAUAUCAAGUGGAACACCAGUGGCGAAAGCGAGUCUCUGGACAACUUCUGACACUGAGGCACGAAAGCUAGGGGAGCAAACAGGAUUAAAUCCCCUGNUAAUCCUAACCGAAACGGUGCAUAUUGCUGUAAAAGGAACCAACCCUUUUUUGCGUACC